RNAcentral lists this unclassified non-coding RNA (259 nucleotides) under uncultured fungus. RNAcentral's name for it is "sequence contains 5.8S rRNA gene". The stretch from base 1 to 53 matches the Rfam family "5.8S ribosomal RNA", at positions 102 to 154 of the family's 154-position model. The record is from RNAcentral. Lineage: Eukaryota; Fungi.
GAACGCACAUUGCGCCCUUUGGCAUUCCGAAGGGCAUGCCUGUUCGAGCGUCAUUAUCACCCCUCAAGCUCGGCUUGUUGUUGGACGUCGGUGGUCGUGUAUCGGUCACCCGCCCCAAAGAUAAUGACGGCGUCUGUGAGGACUCCAGUACACUGAGCUUCUUCGGAGCACGUAUUGGCUAGAAGUCCAGACCCGGUCUUACCUAUUAAUUUUUAUAAAGUUGACCUCGGAUCAGGUAGGGAUACCCGCUGAACUUAAG